This 482-nucleotide ribosomal RNA is filed under the name uncultured bacterium. Its description in RNAcentral is "bacterial SSU rRNA". It matches the Rfam family "Bacterial small subunit ribosomal RNA", at positions 30 to 506 of the family's 1533-position model. The record is from RNAcentral.
UUGAACGCUGGCGGCAUGCCUUACACAUGCAAGUCGAACGGCAGCACGGGGGCAACCCUGGUGGCGAGUGGCGAACGGGUGAGUAAUAUAUCGGAACGUACCCUAGAGUGGGGGAUAACUACGCGAAAGCGUAGCUAAUACCGCAUACGUACUAAGGUAGAAAGCGGGGGAUCGCAAGACCUCGCGCUCCUGGAGCGGCCGAUAUCUGAUUAGCUAGUUGGUGAGGUAAAGGCUCACCAAGGCGACGAUCAGUAGCUGGUCUGAGAGGACGACCAGCCACACUGGGACUGAGACACGGCCCAGACUCCUACGGGAGGCAGCAGUGGGGAAUUUUGGACAAUGGGGGCAACCCUGAUCCAGCCAUGCCGCGUGUGUGAAGAAGGCCUUCGGGUUGUAAAGCACUUUUGUCCGGAACGAAACGGCGAGAGCUAAUACCUUUUGCUAAUGACGGUACCGGAAGAAUAAGCACCGGCUAACUACGU